Molecule: unclassified non-coding RNA, 1734 nt
Filed under: Hevea brasiliensis (rubber tree)
Lineage: Eukaryota; Viridiplantae; Streptophyta; Magnoliopsida; Malpighiales; Euphorbiaceae
Source: RNAcentral
AUAUCAGAAAGAAGCCCUCCUCCAGUUCAAGUUUUUAUUGUUGGGAAACACUUCCUUGUCAAGUGUGCAGCAUCCAAUUUCCGAGUCAUGGAACCUGAGUUCCGAUUGCUGUCAGUGGGAACAAGUCACCUGUGAUUCGAAACAGCAUGUGACUAUUCUUAACCUCUCCAGCCUCACUUCAUCAUUAAGCCAGAAAUCUGUUGUGACAUCUGAUGUUUUAACCCCACUCUUUCAUUUACAAACACUCACCUCUCUUGACAUUUCUAUUAAUGAUAUACAUGGCCAAAUUCCAGGGGUUGGGUUUGCCAAUUUAACUGAACUUGUCGAACUGAUUAUGGUUGAAAAUAGUUUUAAUGGUUCCAUUCCUCCUCAGUUGUUUUCUUUAAGGUAUUUGGAGAAGCUUGAUCUGGGUCAUAAUUUGAUUGCGGGGACAUUAGGCAGCAACUUGGGAAAUCUUUCGAAUCUGAGGGAGUUGCGCUUGAAUGUUAACUUGUUCCACGGACAGAUUCCUAAGCAGAUUGGUCGUCUGGGUGAGUUGUAUUUAUUGGAUUUGGGAUAUAAUUUUUUCUCCAUGGGGAUACCAACUGAGAUUGGUAACAUGUCGAGCUCUGCAUAUCUCUACUUAAGCAGCAACAAUUUAUCAGGAGAGAUCCCUUCUUCAAUGCAAAAGUUGGAACACUUGAAUGAACUUUAUUUGGAAAAUAAUGUCCUUUCUGGUAAAAUCCCACCUUUUAUGUUUCUUUUAAAAGACAUAUAUUCUCUUGUUCUCUCAGGGAAUGAUUUCUCAGGACUGUUGCCGGAUAAUUUUACUGAAGGUUAUGGUAUUGGAUUACUUGCACUGUCCGAUAACAAUCUGUCUGGUCCAAUACCAAGCCCCCUGGCAAAUGGGAUUGAAUACUUCUUGGACUUAUCAGGCAACAAAUUUUCAAGCUUUCCAAAAUUUUAUUUUGAUUCAUCAUUGUAUUAUAUUAAUCUUGCCUCCAAUAAAAUCUCUGGUGAGCUUCCUAUGAUUUUUCCUGAGAUGACAGGAGUACUGAUAUUAAGCCAAAAUGAGCUUUUUGGUUCCCUGCCUCGAGAACUUGCAUACCUUGAUCGGCUCCAGUACCUUGAUCUCCAUGACAACAACUUGACAGGUGAAAUCCCAGCGUUUUUCUCCCAAUUCUACAGUCUCCUAGUUUUGAAUCUUAGGAAUAAUUCUUUCAACGGGUCCAUUACAAUUGAUUUUUCGCCUUCUAGUCUACUAAUUGUUGAUCUCUCUAGCAACAAGCUCAGUGGAGAUAUCCCCUCUACUUUAGGAGAUCUCCAUCGAAUGAUUGAUAAUGCCUACCAUGCGUCUGAUAGCAUGGGCUAUAAUUUUUUCAAUGGGCUCCCAGAACAUUUACUGGACUCGCAAGUCUAUUGGAAGAAGUUAAAGCAAAAUUUAUCUGGCAAUAACCUUUGGAUGUACACAUUUUUAGACCUAUCAAACAACCAAUUAUCAGGUGAAAUUCCUUACAAUUUGGGAUCUUUGAAAAGUUUGAAGUCUCUAAACUUGUCCAGUAACAAAAUCUCAGGCGGCAUACCUGUGAGCUUUGGCAAUUUGCAAAAUUUAGAAAUCCUUGACUUAUCCCGAAAUAAUCUUUCAGGUGAAAUUCCUAAAAAUCUAGGAAAACUCUCUGAAUUAACUGUAUUGGACGUGAGCAACAAUAAAUUUCAUGGUCGCAUUCCAAAUGGUCCUCAAAUGGAUAGAAUGAA